GAUGAAGAACGCAGCGAAAUGCGAUACGUAGUGUGAAUUGCAGAAUUCAGUGAAUCAUCGAAUCUUUGAACGCACAUUGCACCUCUCGGUAUUCCGGGAGGUAUGCCUGUUCGAGCGUCAUUUGUACCCUCAAGCUCUGCUUGGUGUUGGGUGUUUGUUCCGCCUCUGUGUGUGAACUCGCCUCAAAACAAUUGGCAGCCGGCGUACUUGUUUCGGAGCGCAGCACAUUUUACGAUCCAGAUCAACGUACAGCGGCAUCCAAGAAGCCUUAUUUAACGCUCUUGACCUCGGAUCAGGUAGGGAUACCCGCUGAACUUAAGCAUAUCAAUAAGCGGAGGA
Molecule: unclassified non-coding RNA, 339 nt
Filed under: soil metagenome
Description: partial contains 5.8S ribosomal RNA, internal transcribed spacer 2, and large subunit ribosomal RNA
Rfam family: 5.8S ribosomal RNA (bases 1-120)
Source: RNAcentral